RNAcentral lists this unclassified non-coding RNA (1043 nucleotides) under Hevea brasiliensis (rubber tree). Lineage: Eukaryota; Viridiplantae; Streptophyta; Magnoliopsida; Malpighiales; Euphorbiaceae. The record is from RNAcentral.
CAUACUUGUCCAAAAACUCCUUCUGUUAAAUCAUAAGAAUGCAAGAUAUGAAUUGUAUCAAGAUGCCUUUCUAACUUUAUUAAUGGUCUACUAGCAAAUCAGACACCAUAUAACUACAAUUUCAUAUAAACACAUAUCAUUGCAUUAAUAACUUGCAAUAAAGAAGAUUUAACAAGCUGUGAAAAAUCAUUCACUUUAUCAACUUAAAAAAGGCUCAUUUUCAAUCUGCUCCAUUGGGCUCUUCAAGUCAUGGACUUCACACCAAAACUAGUUGAGUUUUGAGUGAUAUUAGCUAGCAGGUUUUUCCACAGUGAUACUCGUCCAUUUGGAACUUCCAAACCUAACCCAACUCCUAGAUUUGGUUUUGUACUCUUCUGGUUGUUUACCAGAAAUAGAAACAGUAUUCUCUUAGGAUGAUUUCUUUAAAAAACUCAAUCGAAAAAGUCUUCAAUAAUAUAAGGACAGGACGCCAGGGAAGGGAUUAAUGUGCAUUACUAAUUUCAGUAUGACGCAAAAAUUCUAAAACUUCAGCUCACAUGACCAUUCACUUUGUUUCUGUAUUACAUAUCAAGUUCCAUUUUUUAAACAAAGUGAUGAAGGCAGUAAUGAUUUCCAACAAUUUUUCAUGCUAAACAAAAAGGGGGAAAAGGAGGAAUCAAUUGCCAGAUUCCCUAGGGCAAACAACAGACAGCUGAACAAGUAUAGUAUAUCACAAGUCCAUUAUCAUUUACAUCUGCAUAUCACAAAACUUCAAUUUACAGGUUCAAAAACAGAGUAUGGGAUAUCACUUGAAUGGAUGGUAUCCUGGUGGGGCUUCAAGGAGGAUACCAUUAAUGUUUUUCUCAAUAGUCCAUUUGGCAGUUCCUAAAACCACUUAAUCCGCAACCUGGUUAAAUUCUUUGUUCCGUGAUAAAUAAUAUAAGAAUUUAGUAACAUCCACAUCACAAUUACUUGUACUACUUAAUGUUUUUGAAAAAGCAUUAUGUAAUGGAGUCUCGAGAUUUAAUAGGAGAUCAGACCUUGCAUUUAUCCCAUAAAGAAGG